This 644-nucleotide ribosomal RNA is filed under the name uncultured Oxalobacteraceae bacterium. RNAcentral describes it as "bacterial SSU rRNA". It matches the Rfam family "Bacterial small subunit ribosomal RNA", at positions 78 to 719 of the family's 1533-position model. Lineage: Bacteria; Pseudomonadati; Pseudomonadota; Betaproteobacteria; Burkholderiales; Oxalobacteraceae. The record is from RNAcentral.
GGCAACCUGGCGGCGAGUGGCGAACGGGUGAGUAAUACAUCGGAACGUACCCAGAAGUGGGGGAUAACGUAUCGAAAGUUACGCUAAUACCGCAUACGAUCUACGGAUGAAAGUGGGGGACCUUCGGGCCUCAUGCUUUUGGAGCGGCCGAUGUCUGAUUAGCUAGUUGGUGAGGUAAAGGCUCACCAAGGCGACGAUCACUAGCUGGUCUGAGAGGACGACCAGCCACUCUGGGACUGAGACACGGCCCAAACUCCUACUGGAGGCAGCAGUGGGGAAUUUUGGACAAUGGGCGCAAGCCUGAUCCAGCAAUGCCGCGUGAGUGAAGAAGGCCUUCCGGUUGUAAAGCUCUUUUGUCAGGGAAGAAACGGCUGAGGAUAAUACCUUCGGCUAAUGACGGUACCUGAAGAAUAAGCACCGGCUAACUACGUGCCAGCAGCCGCGGUAAUACGUAGGGUGCAAGCGUUAAUCGGAAUUACUGGGCGUAAAGCGUGCGCAGGCGGUUUUGUAAGUCUGACGUGAAAGCCCCGGGCUCAACCUGGGAAUUGCGUUGGAGACUGCAAGGCUUGAAUCUGGCAGAGGGGGGUAGAAUUCCACGUGUAGCAGUGAAAUGCGUACAGAUGUGGAGGAACACCGAUGGCGAA